CAAAGCGUAGCUUAAACAAAGCAUCCGGCUUACACCCGGAAGACUUCAGAUAUACUGACCGCUUUGA
This 67-nucleotide transfer RNA is filed under the name Priodontes maximus. RNAcentral's name for it is "tRNA-Val". It matches the Rfam family "tRNA". From Rfam's summary of the family: Transfer RNA (tRNA) molecules are approximately 80 nucleotides in length. Their secondary structure includes four short double-helical elements and three loops (D, anti-codon, and T loops). The record is from RNAcentral. Lineage: Eukaryota; Metazoa; Chordata; Mammalia; Cingulata; Chlamyphoridae.